UUUUCUUAUGACUGUUUUCUCAUUUUUUAUUUUUUAUUUUUUAUUUUUAGACCAACUCUUGCUCUAUCAUGCAGGCUGGAGUGCAAUGGCAUGAUCUCAGCUCACUGCAACCUCUGCCUCCCAGGUUCAAGUGAUUCUCAUGCCUCAGCCUCCCAAGUAGCUGGGAUUACAGGUGCACACCACCAUGCCCAGCUAAUUUUUGUAUUUUUAAUAGAGACAAGGUUUCACCAUGUUGGCGAGGCUGGUCUCAAACUCCUGACCUCAGGUGAUCCACCACCUUGGCCUCCCAAAGUGCUGGGAUUACAGGCGUGAACCACCACGCCUAGCCCUAUUUUCUCAUUUCUACACAUCCUAAUGGAUUCUUAUCAACGAUACCUCAGCCUGUUUCAUAAUGCUCUGCUCUUUGUGGCUUUUAUUCUUUUAUCUUUCAAAUUAUUUUUAAAAUAUACUUUAAAAUCUCAUUCAAGUUUUUCUUUUAAUUCAAUUAGGUAGGUUGCUAAUUUUCCAGACUAUUAUGUCUUCUGGUUUUCCCUCAGUGGCAUGCUUUUUUUUUUUUUUUUUGGCCAAGAAUUUUUUGCUUUUUAACAUAGAAAGCCAGUAUGUAUUUACAUUGAUAAAGCAAUUACAGAUAAAUACACUUAAAAAGACAUGACAUGCUGGAAUAUUUUCUUAGUGAUAUCCUAAAACCAUAAUUAAAUCCUUUUUCACUUCUUCAUUGAAACACAAUAAAUGUACGUAUUUAGGGUACAUGUGCUAAUUUAAUAUGUUCAUGUAGUUCAAGACCAAAUCCAUGUAACUGGGAUAUCCAUCACCUUAAAUAUUUGUCUUUGUGCUAGGGACGGCUCUAACUCUUCUGUCUUGGGGUAAAUUUCCAUCUCUAAACCCAAUCCCCUUGAACAUUUGAAUUACUCUCUUCUAUCUAUUUUGAAAUAUACAAUACACACACUUUUUAUUGCAUCCUCAAUUUCAGUAGGAAUUGCUUGUCUAUGGACAAGCUGUGAGUCACAACUAGUCUUAAGUAUUACUACAGUUCAGUUUCUGCCAAGUACUCCAGAUAUGUUACAUUCAGUUUUUAGCACUCCUUUAAAAGUCCUAGAUUUGUGCAGGAAUCUCUAUAUCCAUUUAUACAUUAAAACACUAGUCCAUACAACUUAUAUCUGGUUUUAAUAUCCUUUUAUCAUUUUUCAUUAAAAAGGUUUUAAUAUCCUUUUUAAAAUUCUGGCACCAAG
This 1229-nucleotide long non-coding RNA is filed under the name Homo sapiens (human). Its description in RNAcentral is "HSALNT0209848". The record is from RNAcentral. Lineage: Eukaryota; Metazoa; Chordata; Mammalia; Primates; Hominidae.